RNAcentral lists this ribosomal RNA (111 nucleotides) under human gut metagenome. The record is from RNAcentral.
GGUGUCUAUAGCGAUGAGGUCCCACCUGUUCUCAUACCGAACACAGAAGUUAAGCUCAUCAGCGCAGAGGGUACUUGGCUGGACACGGCCCGGGAGAGUAUGUCGAUGCCG